GACGAACCGUGCGAACGUUAUUCGGAAUCACUGGGCUUAAAGCGCGUGUAGGCGGGACGGCACGUCUGUCGCUGAAAUCCCCCGGCUUAACCGGGGAACUGGCGGAGAUACGACCGUCCUGGAGGGGCGUAGGGGGACCUGGAACUUCCGGUGGAGCGGUGAAAUGCGUUGAGAUCGGAAGGAACGCCCGUGGCGAAAGCGAGGUCCUGGACGCCUACUGACGCUGAGGAGCGAAAGCGUGGGGAGCGAACAGG
RNAcentral lists this ribosomal RNA (254 nucleotides) under uncultured bacterium. RNAcentral describes it as "partial 16S ribosomal RNA". It matches the Rfam family "Bacterial small subunit ribosomal RNA", at positions 524 to 776 of the family's 1533-position model. The record is from RNAcentral.